RNAcentral lists this ribosomal RNA (492 nucleotides) under uncultured bacterium. Its description in RNAcentral is "partial 16S ribosomal RNA". It matches the Rfam family "Bacterial small subunit ribosomal RNA", at positions 29 to 507 of the family's 1533-position model. The record is from RNAcentral.
AGUGAACGCUGGCGGUAGGCCUAACACAUGCAAGUCGAACGGCAGCACAGUAAGAGCUUGCUCUUACGGGUGGCGAGUGGCGGACGGGUGAGGAAUACAUCGGAAUCUACUUUUUCGUGGGGGAUAACGUAGGGAAACUUACGCUAAUACCGCAUACGACCUACGGGUGAAAGCCGGGGAUCUUCGGACCUUGCGCGAUUGAAUGAGCCGAUGUCGGCUUAGCUAGUUGGCGGGGUAAAGGCCCACCAAGGAGACGAUCCGUAGCUGGUCUGCGAGGAUGAUCAGCGACAGUGGAACUGAGACACGGUCCAGACUCCUACGGGAGGCAGCAGUGGGGAAUAUUGGACAAUGGGCGCAGGCCUGAUCCAGCCAUACCGCGUGGGUGAAGAAGGCCUUCGGGUUGUAAAGCCCUUUUGUUGGGAAAGAAAAGCAGCAGGUUAAUACCCCGCUGUUCUGACGGUACCCAAAGAAUAAGCACCGGCUAACUUCGUG